GUAGGUAAUCUACCCUUCAGAGGAGGACAACCUCAGGAAACUGAGGCUAAACCUUCAUACGUUCAUGUGCAGGGAUGCAUAUGAAGAAAGAGUUACCGUUGAGGUAGCUGCUGAAGGAUGAGCCUGCGGCCCAUCAGGUAGUUGGUGAGGUAACGGCUCACCAAGCCGAAGACGGGUAUCCGGUCUGAGAGGAUGUCCGGUCACACUGGGACUGAGACACGGCCCAGACUCCUACGGGAGGCAGCAGCAGGGAAUCUUGGGCAAUGGGCGAAAGCCUGACCCAGCGACGCCGCGUGGAGGAAGAAGUCCUUCGGGGCGUAAACUCCUGGACUGGGGGACGAGGAAGGACGGUACCCCAGUAGAAAGGGACGGCUAACUACGUGCCAGCAGCCGCGGUAAAACGUAGGUCCCGAGCGUUGUUCGGAUUCACUGGGUGUAAAGGGCGCGUAGGUGGUUGUCUGUGUCUCAUGUGAAAACUCAGGGCUCAACUCUGAGAUGGCGUGGGAAACUAGGCAGCUAGAGGACGGUAGAGGGGAGUGGAAUUCCCGGUGUAGCGGUAAAAUGCGUAGAUAUCGGGAGGAACACCGGUGGCGAAGGCGGCUCUCUGGGCCGAUCCUGACGCUGAGGCGCGAAAGCUAGGGGAGCGAACCGGAUUAGAUACCCGGGUAGUCCUAG
Molecule: ribosomal RNA, 675 nt
Filed under: Coprothermobacter proteolyticus
Lineage: Bacteria; Pseudomonadati; Coprothermobacterota; Coprothermobacteria; Coprothermobacterales; Coprothermobacteraceae
Description: bacterial SSU rRNA
Rfam family: Bacterial small subunit ribosomal RNA
Source: RNAcentral